AGAUUUUCUGUUGUGCUUGAUCUAACCAUGUGCUUGCCAGGUCUGAGGAAAACAUGGUUCCGUCAAGCACCAUGGAACGUCA
Molecule: microRNA precursor, 82 nt
Filed under: Myotis myotis
Lineage: Eukaryota; Metazoa; Chordata; Mammalia; Chiroptera; Vespertilionidae
Also listed under: 1 other name
Description: mir-218 microRNA precursor family
Rfam family: mir-218 microRNA precursor family
About the family: The extents of the hairpin precursors are not known. In this case the mature sequence in excised from the 5'arm of the hairpin.
Source: Rfam by way of RNAcentral